GAUGAACGCUGACAGAAUGCUUAACACAUGCAAGUGGUGGCGGACGGGUGAGUAACGCGUAGGUAACUGCCUGGCAGCGGGGGAUAACUAUUGGAAACGAUAGCUAAUACCGCAUACUACCAGAUGGAUCUGCGUUGUAUUAGGUAGUUGGGGAGGUAACGGCUCACCAAGGCAACGAUACAUAGCCGACCUGAGUGGGUGUACGGCCAAACUGGGACUGAGACACGGCCCAGACUCCUACGGGAGGCAGCAGUAGGGAAUCUUCGGCAAUGGGGGGAACCCUGACCGAGCAACGCCGCGGGAGAGAAGAAGGUUUUCGGAUCGUAAAGCUCUGUUGUUAAGGGAGCGGUACUUAACCAGAAAGGGACGGCUAACUACGUGCCAGCAGCCGCGGUAAUUC
Molecule: ribosomal RNA, 400 nt
Filed under: uncultured bacterium
Lineage: Bacteria
Description: partial 16S ribosomal RNA
Rfam family: Bacterial small subunit ribosomal RNA
Source: RNAcentral